This is a long non-coding RNA of Vombatus ursinus (common wombat), 1397 nucleotides long. RefSeq lists it as uncharacterized. The transcript has 4 exons. NCBI's taxonomy places the organism in Eukaryota, Metazoa, Chordata, Mammalia, Diprotodontia, Vombatidae. The record is from RefSeq and is a predicted model, not a curated record.
AGGACCAGCACUAUCCAUUGCACCACCUAGCUGCCCCAAAAGGAAAAGGGAGGAAGAUUUAUUACUCUUCACUUGCUUUUUCUCCAUGAGAAUUCCCCAAAUAUGGUAAUAAUGGGUCAUCUGGCCUAUGCUUAAAGACAUCCAGUGAGAAGGAACUCAGUAUCCCUCUACGGCAUCCCAUGCUCUUUAUUGUUAGCUACAUUUGUAAAUGUGGGAAUAAGAAAGCAUCACAGAGACCACUGGCCUCAACCUGAAUGUGAAUGAGGAUGUACUCUGCAACAUACUUGCAGACUGGUUAUCAAACCUUUGAUGGAUGGCUUCUAGCUAGCAGGAACCCACUUCCUCCUGAGUCACCAGGACAAAAGGAACCUAUGUCCCUGUUGACAAUGGAUCAGCUUGAAUCUCCUACUUCUGGAAUCUUGAUAAUCAUUUGAAAGGUUUCAAAACUCCAACAUUUCAGGUCCUGCUUCCUCGGGUAUUUCCCCCCCAUGGAUGAUCUUGGGAGAAAAUCAAUGUGAAAGUGAAACCUGCCACUUACAUAUAGCUUCCCAAGUCUGAGAUGACCACAUGAGCUAUAGGUCAAAGGCUCCACCCAACAUGAAAGCCCAGGGCAUCAAUCCUAGAGAAGAAUGUGUCAUGCUCUGGACUGUGAGCCUUAUUUCAGAAAAAACACUCUUACUGUGACUUCCCCCAAGACGCUCUAACUCUUCUUUAAACAGGAUACUUCACUGUUUGGAAGAUUCCUUCAAAGAUGGCUCAAACUGAGCCCUUUCUGUGAUCUCAUCCUGCUUUGUAGUCCACCAUAACCAAGACAUAAAACAGUAUCAGAAUGAUUUGUUGCUAUACUAGCUAGGAUCCUCUACCCACUUCUGCUGACCCAGCUACGAGUCUGGGCAGCCCCAGCCACAGGAAUGAGAAAGUCUGUUGGGCCAAGUUACUGGCCUAGAGCAGUGGGAAAAGCCUUGGAUUUGGAAUCAGAGCGUUGAGGUUGGAAUUCCAUUCUCUGCCACCUUAGGGGAAAGUCACUUAGCUUUAGGGUGUAAGGUCCCUUCCAAUUCCAAAACUAUGAUUCUAUGUUCCUAAAAUCUCUAAGGUCCUUUCUAGUUCAAAAUCUUACAAUCCCUUGGUUCCCUUCUUUAGGUAAUUCAUUACCCUCUCGCCAAGUUUCCUCAGUUUGGGAAAAGGGUCUUUAUUCCUUGCCUCCCUCUAUUCCCAGGUCCACAGUCCAUGGUAUCCCCAUCCUCACUGGAGAGAAGCAGCAUAUGGCAGAAUAUAUGAAGAUGAAGGGAUUCAUGCUCAGCCUUAGGGAGAAAGAAAGUCAGCUUCUGAGAUGCACCCCCUCCCCAACCCACCAUAGCACAGCAUCCAUGUCCUGCCUUACCAGGGUUUUGGCUACG